RNAcentral lists this ribosomal RNA (406 nucleotides) under uncultured bacterium. Its description in RNAcentral is "partial 16S ribosomal RNA". It matches the Rfam family "Bacterial small subunit ribosomal RNA", at positions 30 to 526 of the family's 1533-position model. The record is from RNAcentral.
AUUGAACGCUGGCGGCAGGCUUAACACAUGCAAGUCGAACGAGUGGCGGACGGGUGAGUAAUGCCUGGGAAACUGCCUGAUGGAGGGGGAUAACUACUGGAAACGGUAGCUAAUACCGCAUACCAUCGGAUGUGCCCAGGUGGGAUUAGCUAGUUGGUGGGGUAAAGGCUCACCAAGGCGACGAUCCCUAGCUGGUCUGAGAGGAUGACCAGCCACACUGGAACUGAGACACGGUCCAGACUCCUACGGGAGGCAGCAGUGGGGAAUAUUGCGCAAUGGGGGCAAGCCUGACGCAGCCAUGCCGCGUGAAUGAAGAAGGCCUUCGGGUUGUAAAGUACUUUCGGUAGCGAGGCGUUAACUACAGAAGAAGCACCGGCUAACUCCGUGCCAGCCGCCGCGGUAAUAC